GGAUUUACGCCGGUAGGGGCGUGAGCGUCCCGAUUCAUCGGGAAGGUCAAGGGUUCGACUCCCUUAUUCUCCA
RNAcentral lists this transfer RNA (73 nucleotides) under Kaistella yananensis. Its description in RNAcentral is "Kaistella sp. BT6-1-3 tRNA-OTHER". Lineage: Bacteria; Pseudomonadati; Bacteroidota; Flavobacteriia; Flavobacteriales; Weeksellaceae. The record is from RNAcentral.